This 1512-nucleotide long non-coding RNA is filed under the name Volvox carteri. RNAcentral describes it as "long non-coding RNA (VCAR_LNC001780)". The record is from RNAcentral. Lineage: Eukaryota; Viridiplantae; Chlorophyta; Chlorophyceae; Chlamydomonadales; Volvocaceae.
GCGGCGGGCUUCCUAUGCGCACUGCCUUCCGCAGCCGCGUGUCAUGCAUUUGUGCCGCACUUAGCGGACCGCCGCAGCGGCUUUUCUAUAAGCGCACCGCCUUCCGCGGCCGCUGUCUAUAUGCUCCUAAAUCAACGCCUUCAAUUCGGCGUGCCGCCGCGGCGGGCUUCCUAAGCGCACUGCCUUCCGCAGCCGCGUGUCAUGCAUUUGUGCCGCACAUAGCGGACCGCCGCAGCGGCUUUUCUACAAGCACACCGCCUUCCGCGGCCGCUGUCUAUAUGCUCCUAAAUCAACGCCUCGAUAUCGGCGUGCCGCCGCGGCGGGCUUCCUAAGCGCACUGCCUUCCGCAGCCGCGUGUCAUGCAUUUGUGCCGCACUUAGCGGACCGCCGCAGCGGCUUUUCUAUAAGCUCACCGCCUCCCGCGGCCGCUGUCUAUAUGCUCCUAAAUCAACGCCUUCAAUUCGGCGUGCCGCCGCGGCGGGCUUCCUAAGCGCACUGCCUUCCGCAGCCGCGUGUCAUGCAUUUGUGCCGCACAUAGCGGACCGCCGCAGCGGCUUUUCUACAAGCACACCGCCUCCCGCGGCCGCUGUCUAUAUGCUCCUAAAUCAACGCCUUCGAUUCGGCGUGCCGCCGCGGCGGGCUUCCUAAGCGCGCUGCCUUCCGCAGCCGCUUGUCAUGCAUUUGUGCCGCACUUAGCGGACCGCCGCGGCGGCUUUAUGAUGUAGCUGUAGUCCGUCCACACGUCCGAAGGCUCCGGGUCCGUCCACGCGUCUUGACUUCAACUUUCGUUUGCUUGCGGAUUUCUUGACGCCAUCCUGUAUGCCUGUCUUGCUCAUUGUUCUUUACGCCUUCGCACGUAGGGUAGCUGUUAUGUUGGUAAGUAUCCUGCACCGGGCUAUCUGGCGACUCGCGAGGAUACCAGGGUAAAUCAGGCGAACUCAAGACAAAGGGCGCCGAUCAAGCCCCUCGCAACCUCUUGCCAACCAAGAGCUACUCCCGGCAAAACGGACUCCCAGCUAAAGCCUCGCCAACUGCGGGAGGCCGAGAUAAAACCACCUUUCCUACUGACCUACGGACCUCGCGAACCCAACUAGAAUUCCCCCGCCCACCGACAAGCAACAGAACCCACUAUUCAGGUGCCUCUACUCACGGCCGAACCAACCCAACCACCCGCGCAGUGCCCGCGCGCUUCACUUACUUGCAUGGAUGCCGUUGGCCCGCAAUGUCGAUCUGCGCGUCGCCGUUGUUGUUGUCUUCUCAUAUAUAAGAGACGGCGUUCUAUUGUAGGCAAAACCAAAGAUAUAGGCAAUCUAACAUCACUCGUCAAGCGAUUUCGACCUCGACUUUUUCUAGUCUUUCUCGUCGUCUAUUUUCUGUAAUCCGUCUUAAUAAAGCUUAGUUGGUACCUGUUGUCUGACUCUGCAUUCUGUGCUGGAAUGGCCAAAACUCGGACUGUCUCGUCCUGGUGUGAUAUCCGUGGUUGGCAUAGGGCCCUCCGUACUUCUGUAUUUG